UUAGUGGGGGAGCGGGAGCUCUGGCGGCAGCUGGGGGGAGGGGAUUCGAGCCCCGGAGUCGGAAGAUCUGGGUUUGCUUCCGGGCCUAGCCACCCGCUGGCCGAGUGACCUUAGGCAAGUCACUCUGUUAAUUUGUCUGCGCCUCAGUUUCCUCCUCUGCCUAUCAGUGUGUGUCUGGGAUUGAAAGCGCUUUACAAAAGCGUCCGUUUACAUAAAGGAUGAUUAUUGUCUGUAUAUUUUCUUUGAGUUGCAAGAAGACUUAGCAACUGCUCAUUCCCCGAAAUUAAAUCCGGUAACCUUCUAUUGGAGUUGGAGAUUGGGCAGGCUCCUUGAAUUGGUGUGCAGAAACAUGUGGGAAAGUGCAUUCUAGGGGAAUGAGCGUAUCCAUCCGUAGCAAAGUUUUCAAAGGGGCUCUGACCAGGAAGAGUUUAAAAACAAUUUUAUGCCACCGGGAGGAAACUGAGGCCUACAUGUCAUUUGGGACCCUUCACAACCAAUUUGAAGCCCCCAUUUGAGUCCCUGGUAUAUGUGAGCUGCUUCUUAAUGCAUAAUGGCUAUUUUGGGUAACAUCAUUUCACUGCUUGGCUCCUAUUCUAAGCCCUUUCCUUUCACCGUAGGGUGCCUGAAGGGUGGCUGAUACAUAUGGUACAAUGGCACCCAAUAUAAAGCAGCUACAAUUAGGAGUGAAUAUGUUCUGUAGUAUCAAGAAAUGUAAUCUUUGGCCCAGCAAUUGUUUUUCUGCUGCUUGUACUGGUGCCUGACUACUUUUCUUUCAUUGACUAUUUUCUACGACCAUGAUUGACAUCCAUCGUUUGCUCCUAUUUUGUAUCCCUGGUUUGUGUGGUUGAUAGUGAACAGGCAUAUUUUUAAAUGGUGCUGCCAAACCCAGCUAAUGGUGCAGGUGGAUUUUUAGUAAGUGGGCUCCCUGGAACAGACUGAACCAGGCAUUGGAUUCCUGAAGAUGUUUGGGGUUAUUGUUUGGUUUGGUUUGUUUGGUUUGGUUUGGUUUGGUUUGGUUCUUAUUAUUUGAAGGUUAACAAUCUCUGAAAAGUUUGGUUGGACUCUGGAUGAACCACAAAAUCAAUACAUUUGAAAGUAAUUUGAAGUUUAACUUUUUCCUGGCCAACCUUGUAUUCUAAUUGCCUGCAAGUGUGAGACUGAAAUGGCCAAAAUGCCAUUUUUUGUUUAUUUCUCUGUUAAUUGUCAGCUGCUUUUCUCAGAUUCCAGGCCAUCAUCCAGCAAACACUAUAAAAAUGUUUGAACGGUUGCAUUUCAAACAUUUUCGUUUUGUGGAGUGGUGCUUAUCAAGUGGUACAGCUCUCGAAGCAAGUGAACACAGACAUAUUUAAGUGUAUUUUGUAUGAUUAGAGGUUACCAAUUCUGAUAUUUUAUUCAAAAGUCUAAAAAAAUUAGUUGACUAUUCCCUUUACCAAAGGGCCAGAGACAAAUGCUUUCCCUUCAAGAGAAAUGACUGUUUGGAGAAAAAUGUGUUGGUCUUAGUUCUUUUGUAAUUAAAUCUGGAUGUACCUCAAAAGACUCUUUAAGACUGUGGUGUUAAAAGGCUUUCCUCUGGAGAAAGGAGAAAGGAGAAAAGAAAAAGAAAAAUCAACUGGAACUUAAAAGCUUGAAAUUCCAUGACAAAACACAGAUGUCCAGGAUUGGAGGUUCAUGAAGUGUUUGCAGUAGUUGGAGCAGAUACACUUUUUGGUGUAGCUGCCACUGUGGACUCCAGGUUUCCAGAUUUUCAAGAACUGGAACUGUGACCCAGAAGAGCUUGUCAAGACGUGGCAGGAACUCUGGAGGUAGAAGUUUUGUGGUUUUCAAUUUUGGAACUGUUGAUUUUGCUGUGAGUAAAGAGGCAACAAGUCACCAAGCACUGCUACAAGCACUGUUAAGGGAACUUGAAGACCUGGCUUUCUGUCCAGACCCUCAGUGCAAACUGACAACACUCCAUCCAAAGUGAACUAUGUCCUGUGCCUCCUGAUUGCUGAGUGCUCACCUGGACCUUCUGAUGACCUUCUUUCUGCUAGUCCAUCAGCCUGCAGACCUGGUACCUGGAUUUUUGUCCACGGUGAUUCCUACCACCUUACUACUGAAGAAGACACCAUUCCAAUGGACCACUGUGACCCAAGAAGCAUUCAGCCAUCAUGAUGUGACCUUUACCUCCACUCCUGUUCUUCUCUGCUCAGAUUCAGCACAGCCCUUGCAGUCAAGAGUCUUCAAGCCAAAUAACUGAAGCUAUUUUAUCACAACAGAGGCCAAGUUUAUUCCAUAAAUGUACAGUUCAUUUCUACAGUUAAAAGUCUUCAGAGACACAUAGUAAACUUGGACCGGGGGGUUUUGUGUUUUGUUUUGUUCUUAAAUUGUCAACACUGUCUGAAAAUGGCAUCAUCUCUGAGAACAGCAUUGGAACAUGCUCCACAAUCUCAAAUGACUGAAGUUUAAUGAACUGCCUAGGAUCCUGUCAAGGUCACUGGACUUGUUUUUCCUACUUCAAAUUUGUAGCUGUCUACUGAAUGAAAAAAGAUAUUCUGACCCACUAGGAUCACAACCAAGGCACAUUGAAUUCCUCAUAGUAACAUCUUUGGGUUACUCAGGAACCAAAACUUUCCACGCCGAUUUUAAGAAAUUCUACUAAGGAAUCCCUUUACCUAACCAUCUGACAAGGCUUCAACCAGAUUCCGGAAAGGACCUCUUGACACAUCAAGAUAGAACCUAUAUGCAUUUUGUGAACAACUUAUCCUUAUCACUGGUUUUCCAAAGGCUUUGUGCUCAUGAAGGCCUUUGAAGGAAAGCUGUGUGGAAGUCCAGAGUAAAGUGAAGCUGCUCUGGAUGAAGUAGUGAAGCAGAAGUAGGGGUCUGCAGCCUGCCACAUCGAUCAGCCUUUACCACCAUGAUGACACCUAAAGGGACUUCCUUAAGUAAAAUUCUUCAGAAAAUACUGCUUGAAACCACUGCCCUAGAUGACGUUUGGCCUGAAGGACAUUCUGACCUUUUAUAUACUUCCAACUCUAUAUAUUCAUAUUCAGUUGAUGCUGAUGAACAUGUUUGGAGAUGGGUAUGCCUUUGUCCAGAGAACGAUCAUACAGCGUUGUCAAGUGAAAUUUUAUUAAUAGCAUUCCAUCCAAGGUGGACUUCCUGGAGUUGAAUAUAGCCAGAGAGCAAUUCAUGUAUCAUUAACUGUGAAAGUAUGUGAUGUAGAAAUCUUGGAACAUGGAUAUACGAAUUGCCUAAAAGCUGGUAUUGAAGCUGAUGCCUCAUCGAGGCCAUCUUAGACCAAGUUGUUUAUUUGACCUCUCCUCAUUAACUAUGGUACUCCAUGUAUAAAGCAUAACCAUUAACUAUGAAGCAAAAUUCAAAUACAGUUUUUCCUUAAGGGGCUUGCAACCUGGUUAUCAUUCACUGUCUCAAAUUUCAAAUCAUGUGAUUCAACUAAUAAUUAAACUCCUCCAUGGUUUUCUGUUAUUUAACAACUACUGUUUCCAAGGUUUAAAAAACAAAAAUUAAAUUUCUCCAACACUUGUAUUUCUGCGUAUUCAAAAUUAAUUGAACUACUCACCUCUUCAUGGAACAGAUGACCCUGAAGAUACACACUGAACAUCCUUUAUCAUAUAUGUGACUUAAAAUAUAGCUGGAAAAUUUUCUUCUACCCAGUGAGCUAUUCCUUAAUGGUUAUUCUUCAUGCCUGGUACCAUCAGCUGGAUGUGAUGGGCACAGUUGAACACAGAUUCUUUGACUCUAGGCCAUGAUAGCUUGCUAGGCAGUUCAAGUAGCAUGUUGUCAACCUUUUUGCUGGAAAAGUAGACUAACUUGGAAAGAAAAUCUAAAAUGGCAGCUAAGGAUUUUUUUCAGUGUUCUUGAGUUUCUAUCCUUGUGGAUAUUUUGAUGGAAUAUCAUCUGUCUCAUACUAUCACUACACUAGUUAAGAAUGACUGACUUUAUUCCUUACUAUGAAGUAUUCUUAAGACAUUAAGAUUAUUUUUUGUAGAAAGGAUAAAAUUCCUGAAUAUUGAAAUCAUGUCAUAGUGAACAAGACUGUAAUUUGUGACCUGAGAAAAUUUCAUCCCUCAACUACAUAGUCAAUUUAAGGGCCAACUAUCAUCAGCUAUUCUUGAGUGCAUUGGGUAAACGUCGGAACUGCCUUCUUUAUGUCCUUAUUUCUUACCCUCUAACCAUGGUUAUGUGAUUCUCAACACAAAUCAGCAAAUCAGAUUCAGAUCUGGUUAUUCUAAACUCACAAACAGCAAUUCAAAAUUUGGAUGACUUCUGCUUGUACAUGGCAACUAUUUGUAAAGAAGAAAUUACAGAUUUCACUUUUCUAUUACCUCUACAUUAGCUUUUUCUUUUUACUAUAUUUGCAGAAACAAAAAAUAAAUCUACACUGCCAGUCAUUCUCUCUGAUCCUGUCAUACUCGGUUAAAAUGAGGAAUCAAGAACCUAUUUAGUAAUUGGUUUAGAAAAAAACUAAAAAUUUAAGGCAAACGCCUUAAUCUCGGGCCUUGUCUACUGUCUUCUUGCCUCAGAGCUCAUCUGAAUCUUACAGCAGUGCCACCCAACCAGUCUGAGGCCUUGACUUGCCUUUCGGAUGAUUCUUGGAGAUGGGCUGUAUUACAGAAGGUGAAGACUUGAUUACCAAAGAAAGUAGAGCCAACUACAACAAAUCUGGCUCUACGAUCCUGUUGCUCCCAGAUGUAGCAUAGACUCCUAACUAGAAUCUCAAGUCUGCAUUGAGGAUAUAGCCUUCAAAGCUGACAGUUCUUGCACAUAUGAGCAGGAAAAUGAAAGCUGCUAUACCCAACUGGCCCUUUAAGAUCCAAAAAAUGUCUGGAGUAAACCCUGUGGAUUAACUCUGGAGUACCCAAGACAAAAACUAAUUUAUUGAGCUUCUUUAUUAGUCUGCCUCUUCUUCCAGAUUAUAGCUUAACUACUGGUAUGGCUGGCCCUGCUAAAGUUAUUUGUCUGUUUACCUGUCUUCAGCUCUUAACCUGCCUGUUUUGACAUGCUACUGCAAUCACACUAACUGUCCCUGAGAAGACUACAGUUUCAGCAUCUCUUGUGCCCAGUUCCACCAAGGAAUUUUGAAUAGAAGGAACCUGUACCUCACCCUGCCAGAAAAUAUUCCAAAAGGAGGGACCAUGCUGCAUACUCUUAGACCAGCAACUAAGUAAAGAAUAACCUUCCUUAUUUCCAACACCUAAAUCAUCUGUUUUGUUUAACAGGAGUAUAACAGGUUGAAAGCAGAGCACAUUGCUUUUUAUCUGUGAUAACUAAGAGAUGAAUAUGAUUGGCCAGGACUCAGAAAUUAUAAGUUCACCUUGACAAGACAUCUAGCAACACCAGAACUUUACCACUGAACUUAAUUUGCCACUAACUCAAAUAGCCUCACAGACCUGUUUGCCAAGUAGGAGGCUGGUUUUCCUGUUUCUCAUCACCAAUGUGGUGAGGCACUGAUCAAUCUGACUUGAAUGGAAAUGCUGUGGUGAAUCCCAGAGUAUGAUGCUAAUGGAAAUUAUUAGGACAUUACUCCUAGUGAUUUUUGAGUUUGAUUACCAAGGAAGAAUCACUUCAGCUACUAUAAGUCAACCUUAUGAGCAAAGAUUAAGCUCUUUGUACCUGGUCUUAAUCCUGGAUGUUGUUUUUUUUAUUGCCCAAUGUCCAUUCCAUCUCACUAUAACAACUUCCUGGAGUUUUUUGGAACCAUCUCUUCCAAUUUUCAGUCCAUGUGAUUUAGACAGUCUUGUUGAAUCUUGUGCUGGACAUGUUAUUCCAACCUCAUCAAUCAGCAGAGUCCAUCUUGACUCUAGUAAUUGGUUCCAGAAUGGAUGCAUGAUUCAAGUUUAUCCAAUGAUAAUCAACCUAGGUGUUUUACUCAGUUGUGGAGAAGUUCUCUUAAAUGCUGUAGAUUUGUAGGAGAAAAACUCAACCCAACAGGGCCUACUAUGUUGAAUGAGCCAGGCAGAAAAAUGAAGCCAGUGCAGAGGGAAACAGCCAAAAGAGUGAAAGACUUGAGUUCUGAUUGCAACGUUUAUGCCCCUGGAUCCAACCGUGCCUGAAGCUAGUGGUAUAUCCCCUGGACUUUUCAGUUAUGUGAACCAAUAAAUACCCUUUUUUGUUGAAGUUA
Non-coding RNA from Cricetulus griseus (Chinese hamster), 6121 nucleotides. NCBI's taxonomy places the organism in Eukaryota, Metazoa, Chordata, Mammalia, Rodentia, Cricetidae. The record is from RefSeq and is a predicted model, not a curated record.